AUGGUAGAGAUAAACAGAAUAAACAACUUUGAAACAGCACAGACCAAUUAUGGCUUCUGCUUUGGCAGGGGGCUGACAGACAGAGACUUUCUACAAUCUCAGAAUCACCAAUACCCACAGAUUCCGACACACGAGGACAAAGAGGGGACCGUGCCCCGAGGACAAACCCAGGCACGUUCCCCAGCAGGAGGAUCCAGCGUGCAGGAGCCCCUUGCUGAAGCAGAGGGGGUUUGGGAACCUGGGCCGUGCUCAGCAUCAUCUCUCCAUGGUGCUUUUUCCAGUUUUUUUACCCACCCACAGCAUUCCAGUGGGCCAGAUGGGAUUUCGGGUGAUGCACUGGCGGGGAUGUCACCCAGGCUGCUUGUGCGUUUCUCCCCGUUCCCAGAGGUGGCCAGAAGGGUUUGUCACCCGCCCAGGACCAGCUGUGCCACCAGGGACGUGAAGCAGCCUGUUUGUUCCUGUCCCACCUUCACGGUUUCGGGUGUCACCGGCAGUGCUGAGUCAAACCCGGGGCACAGUGAAACCACCUGCCCUCGGAGCCACGAGGCAACAGAGAUGUCACCACAGCGCUGUCACACCUGCUGCAAUAGAGAUGUCACCACAGCGCUGUCACCCCUGCUGCCACAGAGAUGUCACCACAGCGCUGUCACCCCUGCUGCCACAGAGAUGUCACCACAUCGCUGUCACACCUGCAGUGGUGCAAAGCUCUCCUUCCACCCCCGGAGCUGCCCACACGGAAUUCCAGCUCUCCUUCCACCCCUGGAGAUGUCCACACGGAAUUCCAGCUCUCCUUCCACCCCUCAGAGCUGCCCACACGGAAUUCCAGCUCUCCUUCCACCCCUCAGAGCUGCCCACACGGAAUUCCAGCUCUCCUUCCACCCCUCAGAGCUGCCCACACGGAAUUCCAGCUCUCCUUCCACCCCUGGAGCUGCCCACACGGAAUUCCAGCUCUCCUUCCACCCCCCGGAGAUGCCCACACGGAAUUCCAGCUCUCCUUCCACCCCUGGAGCUGCCCACAUGGAAUUCCAGCUCUCCUUUCACCCCUGGAGAUGCCCACACGGAAUUCCAGCUGCUCGUGGCCAGGCCAUGCACGGACACACCCUGUGGAAGAGCUGA
RNAcentral lists this long non-coding RNA (1116 nucleotides) under Taeniopygia guttata (zebra finch). Its description in RNAcentral is "lncRNA (ENSTGUG00000028737.1)". Lineage: Eukaryota; Metazoa; Chordata; Aves; Passeriformes; Estrildidae. The record is from RNAcentral.